UUAGUUCGUGGAGUGAUCUGUCUGCUUAAUUGCGUUUCAAAUUUUUAACCGAGGACCGGGUUUUGGUUUGGCUAGUGGUCCUACGAUGACUGUGAACUGUCAUGUCUUCGGAUGUACGACUAUCGGUCUAGGAUCACAUGACUUGCCCCUGGGACUCUUUUGAACGCAACGGACGUGAUUGCAACCCCUUGUUGAGAUUAGAGAUAGUCUCGAUAUUCACUGGCCAAACUGGCUGCUUUAUGCAGUCUUGUUGAAUGGUGGAUAAACUCGGGGGACUGCUGACUAUAACCAUUUCUCAAAACAGAGGAAGGUUGCGGCAAUAACAGGUCUGUGAUGCCCUCAGAUGUCCCGGGCUGCACACGUGCUACAAUGAGUGGCGCAAUGUGCUAAUGUUUUAAGGGAUAAGCGUGCGGCCAGUAGAACGUCGGCAAUUGCCCUGGCGUCUUCUACCGCACGAUUAUCAGCCUUCCCUUAACAGGGCGGGCAACCUUUUCAAAAUACCGGUUUGAUGUUAAAGUAUAGAGUCGUUUUUUUUGGAUGGUGGUUUACGAACCAAUACCAUCCGCAACUGCUCGCGAGUUUGUGGUUCUGGUGACUCAUGGUGGGACCGA
This 611-nucleotide ribosomal RNA is filed under the name Globigerinoides ruber albus. Its description in RNAcentral is "partial small subunit ribosomal RNA". The stretch from base 1 to 540 matches the Rfam family "Eukaryotic small subunit ribosomal RNA", at positions 1294 to 1605 of the family's 1831-position model. The record is from RNAcentral. Lineage: Eukaryota; Foraminifera; Rotaliida; Globigerinidae.